Molecule: ribosomal RNA, 547 nt
Filed under: uncultured bacterium
Lineage: Bacteria
Description: bacterial SSU rRNA
Rfam family: Bacterial small subunit ribosomal RNA
Source: RNAcentral
UAGGGAAUUUUUCACAAUGAGCGAAAGCUUGAUGGAGCAAUGCCGCGUGAACGAUGAAGGUCUUUAAGAUUGUAAAGUUCUUUUAUUUGGGAAGAAUGACUUUAGCAGGUAAUGGCUAGAGUUUGACUGUACCAUUUUGAAUAAGUGACGACUAACUAUGUGCCAGCAGUCGCGGUAAUACAUAGGUCGCAAGCGUUAUCCGGAUUUAUUGGGCGUAAAGCAAGCGCAGGCGGAUUGAAAAGUCUGGUGUUAAAGGCAGCUGCUUAACAGUUGUAUGCAUUGGAAACUAUUAAUCUAGAGUGUGGUAGGGAGUUUUGGAAUUUCAUGUGGAGCGGUGAAAUGCGUAGAUAUAUGAAGGAACACCAGUGGCGAAGGCGAAAACUUAGGCCAUUACUGACGCUUAGGCUUGAAAGUGUGGGGAGCAAAUAGGAUUAGAUACCCUAGUAGUCCACACCGUAACCGAUAGAUACUAGCUGUCGGGGCGAUCCCCUCGGUAGUGAAGUUAACACAUUAAGUAUCUCGCCUGGGUAGUACAUUCGCAAGAAUG